This 1410-nucleotide long non-coding RNA is filed under the name Anser cygnoides (Swan goose). RNAcentral's name for it is "lncRNA (ENSACDG00005000151.1)". Lineage: Eukaryota; Metazoa; Chordata; Aves; Anseriformes; Anatidae. The record is from RNAcentral.
UCACAUCCCCCUUCAUCUUCUGUGUCUGGCAAGUAAAAUGUCAACAAAAACAUUGGAGUGCAGGUGUACUCAAGUGGGUUCGGAAUAAGCAAACAAGAUCACCCAGGUCUGGACACCAAUACGGUCCAAACUCUCUUAUGUUUAUGUUGUAGGAAUUUACUUUUAUCAACUGUUGUGAUUGAGGUCUCUGGAGCAAAUGGCGCAUCCAACUUGGAUAACCACUACUGUAUCAAGUUUGUGUAGUGUUGCCUAUUAAAAUAAGAUUAGUUAGAUGGGAUGUUCCCUUUAUAGUCUCCUUAACAAGCAACAAACAGAUGCCUAAGGCACCCAGCCCUGCCUAUGAGAGAGAGUGCACCUUAAAUCAUCGCUUUGAAUAUGUAUUUAGGAUACUAACUUCUUUGCGGCUCAGUGUCUUGCAAAGAUGAGCCCCUAACAGAGCUGUUAAAUGGGCUCAGCUACAAGAGUUGUUGCAAGUGUGCACCUGUCUAGUAACAGCAAGUUAAAAGAUAAGUGCUUGAAUAAAUCAGUCAACAGGUUUUAUGAAAGACUUGGGAGGAGAAGAGAGGACAGCAGAAAGUAGUUGUAAUGCUAAUCAAAAAUGAAAGAUAUCCUAAAAGCAUGUGAGAACAGGCAAAUAUUAGCAGGUGUUGCAAAUGUCCAGGCUUAAAGCAGAGUUUGAACCACACUGGGUAAAACUACUUUGAUAUGGGUUAAAAUGCACUAAAGAUGCUAGUUCAGCCGUGUAGUUUUAGUGAAAGAAAUUAUAAUUUAGGGAUGGGUGGAAUACCUUAGACUGUGAAGUCUGUCUUGGUUUUCUUUAAUAGAGAUUUUUCUUUCCAGGUCUACCCUGGGCACCCUAACCUACUUAAGCUAUGUAUGCACUUGAGUGUUCCUGCUUUGAUUUUUUUUUUCCUGAGGCAAAAUCCAGGUCUUAAGCCACCUCUCACAACACGUCUAUCAAUGUAAGUUUUCUCAGUGACCAUUUCCAUUGUAUUUCAGACCAUCAGGAGCAGUUUCCAAGGAGACUACCUCCUUGUGGGCUGAAUCUUCAGCAGGUGCAUAUUAGCUCAUUUCCAGCGAAGUCUGCAGGCAGAAAGACAACUUUUCACAGACCUGUCUUACCACCUACUUCCUGUUUUAUUCUUUCAUGGAUGCAACUUUCCCUGCAGGAAGAAGGUAAGAAAUAUAUAUAUUUUUUAAGCAGCAGGUUGUCGUUGUAUAAUGUCACAUAAUUAAACUGGAAACUUAGUGUGAUUUUUGAAUUAAUAAUCCAGAAGCUAAAAUGUUGAAAAGGUUGACUGGUUAAAAAACAAAACAAAACAAACAAACAAAAACUUUAAAUGGCAGAGACUUAUCAUGAAUCUUACCCUUUAAAAUAAAAUAUUUGUGCUGUAGAUAAGUUAUACUGUG